GGGUAGUUUGACUGGGGCGGUCUCCUCCUAAAGAGUAACGGAGGAGCACGAAGGUCAGCUAAUCCUGGUCGGACAUCAGGAGGUUAGUGCAAUGGCAUAAGCUGGCUUGACUGCGAGCGUGACGGCGCGAGCAGGUGCGAAAGCAGGUCAUAGUGAUCCGGUGGUUCUGAAUGGAAGGGCCAUCGCUCAACGGAUAAAAGGUACUCCGGGGAUAACAGGCUGAUACCGCCCAAGAGUUCAUAUCGACGGCGGUGUUUGGCACCUCGAUGUCGGCUCAUCACAUCCUGGGGCUGAAGUAGGUCCCAAGGGUAUGGCUGUUCGCCAUUUAAAGUGGUACGCGAGCUGGGUUUAGAACGUCGUGAGACAGUUCGGUCCCUAUCUGCCGUGGGCGCUGGAGAAUUGAGGGGGGCUGCUCCUAGUACGAGAGGACCGGAGUGGACGCAUCACUGGUGUUCGGGUUGUCAUGCCAAUGGCAUUGCCCGGUAGCUAAAUGCGGAAGAGAUAAGUGCUGAAAGCAUCUAAGCACGAAACUUGCCCCGA
This 540-nucleotide ribosomal RNA is filed under the name Klebsiella oxytoca. RNAcentral describes it as "partial 23S ribosomal RNA". It matches the Rfam family "Bacterial large subunit ribosomal RNA", at positions 2263 to 2802 of the family's 2925-position model. RNAcentral also lists the same sequence under 1 other name. Lineage: Bacteria; Pseudomonadati; Pseudomonadota; Gammaproteobacteria; Enterobacterales; Enterobacteriaceae. The record is from RNAcentral.